GAUGAACGCUGGCGGCGUGCCUAAUACAUGCGAGUCGAGCGAACAGACGAGGAGCUUGCUCCUCUGACGUUAGCGGCGGACGGGUGAGUAACACGUGGAUAACCUACCUAUAAGACUGGGAUAACUUCGGGAAACCGGAGCUAAUACCGGAUAAUAUAUUGAACCGCAUGGUUCACUAGUGAAAGACGGUUUUGCUGUCACUUAUAGAUGGAUCCGCGCCGCAUUAGCUAGUUGGUAAGGUAACGGCUUACCAAGGCAACGAUGCGUAGCCGACCUGAGAGGGUGAUCGGCCACACUGGAACUGAGACACGGUCCAGACUCCUACGGGAGGCAGCAGUAGGGAAUCUUCCGCAAUGGGCGAAAGCUUGACGGAGCAACGCCGCGUGAGUGAUGAAGGUCUUCGGAUCGUAAAACUCUGUUAUUAGGGAAGAACAAAUGUGUAAGUAACUAUGCACGUCUUGACGGUACCUAAUCAGAAAGCCACGGCUAACUACGUG
RNAcentral lists this ribosomal RNA (497 nucleotides) under uncultured bacterium. RNAcentral's name for it is "partial 16S ribosomal RNA". It matches the Rfam family "Bacterial small subunit ribosomal RNA", at positions 28 to 507 of the family's 1533-position model. The record is from RNAcentral.